This is a long non-coding RNA of Gadus macrocephalus (Pacific cod), 815 nucleotides long. RefSeq lists it as uncharacterized. NCBI's taxonomy places the organism in Eukaryota, Metazoa, Chordata, Actinopteri, Gadiformes, Gadidae. The transcript is spliced from 4 exons. The record is from RefSeq and is a predicted model, not a curated record.
CAAUAAACUCUCUGCACUUAAUGUUCUACCUACAAUUAAAGUUUUUAUUUCCUAACUCUAUAGUAUAGGGAUAGAUACAGCAAUAUAUUCCUGUAAUCUAUCAGCUGUAAGCUUUGUACCCUCUAACUGGCUUCUGUAUUUGCCCAGGUGUAUGUGAGUCAGUUUUUUUAAUGGAAUUUUUAUUUUCAGCGCCAUCACCCAUCUUGUGAGCUGUUGAGGGAGAACAACCACAGGCUGCAGAGGGAAAAUUAUUCUCUUAAGGCAAAAAUAGCAACAUUGAAAUUGCUGCCAGACGUUUUGCAGAAGAUGGAGGAGUUUCUCCGCUCAGCACCAAGACCAACGACAACACCAAUACCAACACCAACACCAAGACACCAAGACCAAGACCAAGACCAGAACCAACACUAUCACCAGCACCAACAGCAGUUCCAGCACCAGUAACAGAAGACCCAUCACCAGCUCCAGGUCCAUCAUCAGCAUCAGCAACAGAGGCCCUGGGCCACUCUGUCAUUCCAAAAGGACUUGUGGAGCGCUGCUCCUUCCAAAGCCCCCAGAAGUUCAUAAAUGAUCUCCUACAUGGGAUGUAUACCAGGGAAUAUAUGACAGGCCAUUCAGUGACUGGCCAGUCACCCAGCAGCUGCACAGAAGGAAAACCUGGCCUAGCCAAACAAGACCUUGUUGAAAUAAGAAAUGCUGCAAAGUUGAAGUUCACCUACGUAACUGAUAUGAACAUAAAAGCAUUUAUACGACAAAAGCUGAACAAUGCUGCCAAUUUUCAGAAACAAUAAAUUAUCAACUGUUUAAAGAAAGUUAAA